UAACGAAUCUUCCGCAAUGCGCGAAAGCGUGACGGGGCAAUGCCGCGUGUGGGAUGAAGCCCUUCGGGGUGUAAACCACUGUCAGGGUUUAGGAAACAAAUGACCAUACCCAAAGGAAGCACCGGCUAACUCUGUGCCAGCAGCCGCGGUAAUACAGAGGGUGCAAGCGUUAAUCGGAAUCACUGGGCUUAAAGCGUUCGUAGGCGGGCUUGAAGGCGCCUUGUGAAAUCCCCCGGCUCAACCGGGGAAUUGCUCGGCGAACCGCAGGCCUUGAGUCAAGUAGAGGCACCUGGAACGAUAGGUGGAGCGGUGAAAUGCGUAGAUAUCUAUCGGAACGCCAAAUGUGAAGACAGGGUGCUGGGCUUGUACUGACGCUGAGGAACGAAAGCGUGGGGAGCAA
This 400-nucleotide ribosomal RNA is filed under the name uncultured bacterium. RNAcentral describes it as "bacterial SSU rRNA". It matches the Rfam family "Bacterial small subunit ribosomal RNA", at positions 355 to 771 of the family's 1533-position model. The record is from RNAcentral.